AUGGCGCCCUCCACCACCACCGGUGCUGUCCCAGUCCCACGAUGUCCUGUUAUCUUCAACGGACAGAACUACAGGGACUGGGUGCAGCACAUGAAGCUGCACAUGAGGGGCCAGCUGGUCUGGGAGCACCUCUCUGGUGCUCUGCCUUGUCCCCUGCUGCCCACUCCUCCAGCUGAGUUGGCCUUCCCUGUUGAUGCCGAUGAAACCAAGCAACGUGAGAUGCUAGAUGCUUUUGAAGAGGCCACUGAAGAGUAUCAGAAUCAACUCCACUUAUACAAGCAAUGGACAAAUGUUGAUGCUCGAGCCUCUUCUAUCUUGGUGAACAGCAUGGAUGUUGAUCUCACCAUGGAUGUGGUGGCCCUUACCACUGCAUAUCAGAUGUGGGAGCACCUUCGCCAUCGCUAUGAGUCUACAGGGGAUGCCAUGUAUCUCUCUGUUGUUCGUCAAGAGCAACAACUACAACAGGGAGAUGCUACUGUGGAUGAUUUCUACAAGGAGAUGUCGGCGGUGUGGCGCCAAUUGGACUCUCUGGGAGCUGAUGUUUGUCGCAGAUGUCAGUGUUGUGUGCGGCAACAAGCUAAGCUGGAGGUUCGUCGCCUCUAUGACUUCCUCACUCGCCUCCGGCCGGAGUUCGAGCAGAGUCGUGCUCAGCUAUUGGCACGCCAUCCUCGGCUCUCUACUCUGGAGGCCCUUGCUGAGGUGCGAUCUGAGGAGGUGCGCCUACGGAGCACGGGCUUAUUGCCAUCCUCUUCAGCAGUCCUGGCUGCCCGCGUUCCACCACCGCUGCCUGGUGUGCCCUCUUCUACACAGGUGGCAGCAACCUCCACUAGUGCUUUCUGCAACUACUGCAAGCAGGAUGGUCACAUGAUCACGGAGUGCAUCAAGAGGAGGAAACAGGGUCGCCGUGGUGGCCGUCCUCAAAAGGACUCGGGAGGCUCCUCUAAUUUUCGUGAGGGCUCCCUUGAGAAGGUUCACCAGGAGAUGCUCACCUUGCUGCGCCGCCUUAUUGCUUCUGCACCAUCCUCAGGUUCUGCUGGUUCUGCUGGUCAGACGUCUGGUCCACCACCGCACUCUUCGUCAGGUACAUCUUUGCCCUGGAUUCUUGAUUCUGGGGCCUCCUUCCACAUGACACCACACAGAGAUCAUCUUUGUGCUGUCAAUUCCGUGCCUUCUCUUACAGUUCAGACUGCAGAUGGCACUUCUCUUUCUGUUGCCGCAAGAGGGACUCUUUCCACGUCUUCUUUUCAUGUCCCUGCCGUUUCUCAUGUUCCUAAACUGACUAUGCAACUUCUAUCUGCUGGUCAACUUACUGACUUGGGUUGUUGUGUUAUUCUGGAUUCUGACUCUUGUUGUGUUCAGGAUCGUCGUACGGGGACUCUGGUUGGGAUCGGUCCUCGGCGCCAUGACUCUCAGCGCCUUUGGGAGCUCGAUUGGCUGCGCCUUCCUUCCGCUGCGUCCUCUAGCCAGUCGGACAUCACCACCCCUUUUGCUUCAGCUGCCACCUCCACCACAUCCUUCGCUCAGUGGCAUCAUCGAUUGGGUCACAUUUGUGGCUCCCGCUUGUCUUCUUUGGUUAGGAGUGGUGUUCUAGGGUCUGUAUCUGGUGAUAGUUCACUAACUUGUAUGGGUUGUAAGCUUGGCAAGCAGAUACAACUUCCAUAUCCCUCUAGUAAUUCUGUUUCUCAACGACCUUUUGAACUUGUUCACUCUGAUGUAUGGGGUCCUGCCCCCUUUGUUUCGAAAGGGGGUCACAAAUAUUAUAUAAUUUUCAUUGAUGAUUUUUCUCGCCACACUUGGAUCUACUUUAUGUCAUCUCGUAGUCAAGUGCUUCAAAUUUACAAGUCGUUUGCUACCAUGGUUCGCACUCAGUAUGAUUCCUCUGUUCGAGUUUUUCGUGCUGAUUCGGCUGGCGAGUACUUAUCUCGUGCGCUUCGUGGUUUCCUUGCUGAACAGGGUACCCUUCCUCAGUAUGGGUACCCUUCCUCAGUAUUCCUGUCUUGA
This 2001-nucleotide ribosomal RNA is filed under the name Triticum aestivum (bread wheat). Its description in RNAcentral is "partial small subunit ribosomal RNA". Lineage: Eukaryota; Viridiplantae; Streptophyta; Magnoliopsida; Poales; Poaceae. The record is from RNAcentral.